UUGACCUCAAAUCAGGUAGGACUACCCGCUGAACGAAC
Molecule: ribosomal RNA, 38 nt
Filed under: Gymnopus sepiiconicus
Lineage: Eukaryota; Fungi; Basidiomycota; Agaricomycetes; Agaricales; Omphalotaceae
Description: partial 28S ribosomal RNA
Source: RNAcentral